AACGCACAUUGCGCCCUUUGGUAUUCCAAAGGGCAUGCUUGUUCGAGCGUCAUUUGUACCCUCAAGCUUUGCUUGGUGUUGGGUGUUUGUCCUCUCCACGCGUUAGGACUCGCCUUAAAUCAAUUGGCAGCCGAUGUAAUGGUUUGAAGCGCAGCACAAGUCGCGGUUCAGGCCACUUAUGUGGGCAUCCAGUAAGCACAAUAACACUUUUGACCUCGGAUCAAGUAGGGAUACCCGCUGAACUUAA
RNAcentral lists this unclassified non-coding RNA (247 nucleotides) under uncultured fungus. RNAcentral's name for it is "partial contains 5.8S ribosomal RNA, internal transcribed spacer 2, and large subunit ribosomal RNA". The stretch from base 1 to 52 matches the Rfam family "5.8S ribosomal RNA", at positions 103 to 154 of the family's 154-position model. Lineage: Eukaryota; Fungi. The record is from RNAcentral.